RNAcentral lists this ribosomal RNA (433 nucleotides) under uncultured bacterium. Its description in RNAcentral is "partial 16S ribosomal RNA". It matches the Rfam family "Bacterial small subunit ribosomal RNA", at positions 29 to 507 of the family's 1533-position model. The record is from RNAcentral.
AACGAACGCUGGCGGCAUGCCUAACACAUGCAAGUCGAGCGAGACCUUCGGGUCUAGGGGCGCACGGGUGCGUAACGCGUGGGAACCUGCCCUUAGGUUCGGCAUAACUAUCCGAAAGGGGUGCUAAUACCGGAUAAUGUCUUCGGACCAAAGAUUUAUCGCCUUUGGAGGGGCCCGCGUUGCAUUAGCUAGUGCGUAGGGUAAAAGCCUACCACGGCGACGAUCCAUAGCUGGUUUGAGUGGAUGAUCAGCGACACUGGGAGUGAGACACGGCCCAGACUCCUACGGGAUGCAGCAGUGGGGAAUAGUGGACAAUGGGCGAAAGCCUGAUCCAGCAAGGCCGCGUGAGUGAUGAAGGCCUUAGGGUAGUAAAGCGCAUUUACCCGGGAUGAUAAUGACAGUACCGGGAGAAUAAGCUCCGGCUAACUCCGCG